UGGGGAAUAUUGGACAAUGGGCGAAAGCCUGAUCCAGCCAUGCCGCGUGAGUGAUGAAGGCCUUAGGGUUGUAAAGCUCUUUUGUCAGGGAAGAUAAUGACGGUACCUGAAGAAUAAGCACCGGCUAACUUCGUGCCAGCAGCCGCGGUAAUACGAAGGGUGCUAGCGUUGUUCGGAAUUACUGGGCGUAAAGCGCGCGUAGGCGGCUACUCAAGUCAGGGGUGAAAUCCCGGAGCUUAACUCCGGAACUGCCUUUGAAACUGUGUAGCUGGAGUGUGUGAGGGGAUGGCGGAAUUCCUAAUGUAGAGGUGAAAUUCGUAGAUAUUAGGAGGAACACCGGUGGCGAAGGCGGCCAUCUGGCACACAACUGACGCUGAGGCGCGAAAGCGUGGGGAUCAAA
RNAcentral lists this ribosomal RNA (400 nucleotides) under uncultured bacterium. Its description in RNAcentral is "bacterial SSU rRNA". It matches the Rfam family "Bacterial small subunit ribosomal RNA", at positions 355 to 772 of the family's 1533-position model. The record is from RNAcentral.